GUCCGUCGUGAAGAGGGAAACAACCCAGACCGCCAGCUAAGGUCCCAAAGUCAUGGUUAAGUGGGAAACGAUGUGGGAAGGCACAGACAGCCAGGAUGUUGGCUUAGAAGCAGCCAUCAUUUAAAGAAAGCGUAAUAGCUCACUGGUCGAGUCGGCCUGCGCGGAAGAUGUAACGGGGCUAAACCAUGCACCGAAGCUGCGGCAGCGACACUAUGUGUUGUUGGGUAGGGGAGCGUUCUGUAAGCCUGCGAAGGUG
This 256-nucleotide ribosomal RNA is filed under the name Xanthomonas citri pv. citri. Its description in RNAcentral is "partial 23S ribosomal RNA". It matches the Rfam family "Bacterial large subunit ribosomal RNA", at positions 1003 to 1258 of the family's 2925-position model. Lineage: Bacteria; Pseudomonadati; Pseudomonadota; Gammaproteobacteria; Lysobacterales; Lysobacteraceae. The record is from RNAcentral.